GCUCAGUACAGGUACUAUAAAAUGACUCUCAUGAAAGCCAAGUCCAUCUAGUCUAGAGGGGGUUCCAUGGUGUGCAUUCAGAAGGUAUCUUGGGACUAACUUCACUUCUAUGACCAUGGCUUUGAGAAGAGCACUGUCAAACGUCAACAUGAUUGUUCUGAGCACCUGUGAGGUGCUGGGAAUGGUAUAGACCCUUUGUGCACAUAUUAUUUCUCUCUCUCUCUCUCUCUCUCCUGGGGGGGGGGGCACUCUACAUGCAUGUGGAGGCCAAACACCAAAAAUUGACAUAGGUCCCUCCAUCACUCUCCAUCCUUUUUUUUUUUUUAAGGCAGGGUCUCUGUUGAAGGAAAUAUCUAAAAAGUAGAGCCGGCACACUCCCACAAUUGUGCCUCUGCCCUGGCAGCCUGGCUGGCCAUGCACUGUCGGGCAAAGGCUGACCUAUUUUAUCUCCUGGAGAUUCUCUGGCCUGGAGCUCCCAAAAUGUCUCCACCCAGCUCACUAUGCUCCCACUGUCAGGUUGCUACCAUGCCAACCUCGUGCUUCAACACCGCCCCCCCCCCCAGCCUUUGUGGUGCACAUCUGGCAAACCCAUGCUUUGCCACUGUACCUCUCUCUCUUGAACCCAGCUGAGCUCCUGCCUAAAAGAAAACGCAACACAGACUUAGUUCAGAAACAAUGGUAACUCAAUCUCCCCAGACACUAAACAGUAAAAUUUGAUAUUUUUAAAGGCUGGACUUAUUUGCUCUAUAGAGCAUGCAUAUAAACAUUGUUAUAUUGUGAUAUAUAUCCAAAAAUUGAAUGAUAAUUAUCCAGAAACUGACAAUUAUCCAUUUACUAUAGACAGAGAAAAAGUUCACAAUACACUGUGAAGUUAAAAGAGGGCAGGGCAGGACUGGAGAGAUGGCUAGUGACCAAGAGCACUGGCUGGUUUUUCAGAGGACCCAGGUUCAAUUCCCAGUACCCACAUGGCAGCUCACAAUCCUCUGACUUCAUCCCUAGUGUAUCUGAUGCCCUCUUCCCACCUCUGUGGGCACUAAAUGCACAUGGCACACAGACAUGAAUGCAGGCAAAACACCCAUACACAUAAAAUAAAAUACUAUUAGUUGGUUUCUACUCAUUUUUGAAUAAAUGAAAAAAUAUAAUUAUCAUUAAUUAUCACCAUAUGCUAUUUUUCCAGAAUAUUUACAAUAUUAUUUUUCUGUGACAGAUAUAUAUAUAUUGUUUUAUCCAGUUUUAAAGCAUUAGCAAAAUAUAAGAAAAUUUGAAAAGAAAAAAAAGAACAUUUGAGUGAAAUCCACUCUGUAUAUUAAAUUAAAAGAAUUUUUAAUUUUUUUAAAAUCCUGGCUUU
RNAcentral lists this long non-coding RNA (1348 nucleotides) under Mus musculus (house mouse). RNAcentral describes it as "long non-coding RNA chr19:3207056-3208404". The record is from RNAcentral. Lineage: Eukaryota; Metazoa; Chordata; Mammalia; Rodentia; Muridae.